This 307-nucleotide ribosomal RNA is filed under the name uncultured prokaryote. Its description in RNAcentral is "bacterial SSU rRNA". It matches the Rfam family "Archaeal small subunit ribosomal RNA", at positions 925 to 1228 of the family's 1478-position model. The record is from RNAcentral.
UAUUACCAGAAGCGACGGCAGGAUGAAGGUCAGACCAAAGAAUCUUACCUGACGAGCCGAGAGGUGGUGCAUGGCGGCCGUCAGCUCGUGGUGCGAACUGUCCGGUUAAGUCCGGUAACGAGCGAGACCCUUGCGAAUAGUUGCCACCGGCUUUAGCGAUAAGCCGAGCACUCUAUUCGGACCGCCUCUGUUUAAAGAGGAGGAAGGAGGGGGCGACGAUACGUCAGUAUGCCCUGAAUCUCCUGGGCUACACGCGGCAUACAAAGGUCGGUACAAUGAGAUGCAAUGCCGAGAAGGCAAAACGACC